Molecule: long non-coding RNA, 1387 nt
Organism: Haplochromis burtoni (Burton's mouthbrooder)
Lineage: Eukaryota; Metazoa; Chordata; Actinopteri; Cichliformes; Cichlidae
Exons: 2
Source: RefSeq, a predicted model, not a curated record
AGUUGGUGAAAACGACCCAGAGUUUCUGCCAACCGUUACUGUUCUUGAACUUCCUCAGGAGGUAACCCGAGAGCUGGUUCUACAGAGGAAAGAGGAGAAAGGAACAAGAUCAGGAGCAGAAAGGGAGAACAAAUGUAAAACGUCUGGAGUCACAGCGAGACCUGGGAAAGAGCCUCUACUGAAGCAGCUAUGUGUCUGGAGGUAAACUGUGGUGGGGUCGUCUUAUCUUUCAUAUCCUAAUGAUAUCCAUGUGCAAGUCAAAACACACAUCACUGUGCCCUGCUGAUAGUUCACCCUUGUAUUUAUUUGUAUAGAAUUAUGAGUAGUUAUGACAGGCAGAGGCCGACAUGUCUGUGUGUCUUGAGUAAACACUGUAUAUUUAAUUUUUAAAAAAAUGGAUGUAGCCAUUAAGACAUCACCCAUUGAUUUGUGAUCAUUUUGGCAGUCACCACCUCAGUGUUUUGAACCUGUACAGAUGAUGGAGGGGUGGUACUGACUGAGAAACCAGCAGAAACUUGUCCAUCACAAAGUAGUCACACUGAAUUAUUCUUCAAGUCUCAGUUAAAGUAAAAUAGCUGAUAAUUUAGUAAACAUGUGUAUUAGGUACACGGGAGUGUGUAAUGCUGUCAUAAGUGAGAAGCAGGCUCAUUUUCUCAGAUUUCUAUGCAGCAUUACUUCUUUUUAGAAUCAGAAUCACUGCCCCCUGCUGGCCAUUAGAAAGAAUGCAAGUUUAGGCUUUAAACAUUUGCUUCAUGUUUCAAAAGCUGAGGCUAUUUCCAUUUCUUUUUAUAUGCAGUCUACUGUCUUAAGAUGAGCUUUUCGCUUCGUCUACACGGGCAUGGGAGGAAAGAAGGGUCUGGUUUGGGCAUCCAAGCUGGCAGAGCUCAGAGGACUUACCGGUGCAUCCAACACUAUGAGCUGCAGCCAGGAGCAAAGCAGAGACAUGUAAAGUUAGGAGACCCUCACCCUCCCUUCUCAACACUUUGUGUGUCAGAAGAAUUGGAGUACCCGAUUAUGAGAUGUUAGCUUUUGUGUAAACCUAACUACAGAGUCUUACUGGGAGCUUUAAUGGUUAAAACAGGAUGGCAGAGGUUAAGAGAAGAGACUGCAGACUCACUAUCAUGCCAUGAAGGGGCAGCUGUCCAUGGACUUUGAACUGAUUGGUUGCUGUAACACCUUUGCUUGUGUAAAGGAGCAUGUCAGAGAACUGAAAAGACAUGAAGGCAAAGAUUAAAAAGUGCUAACAAUGAUUAGAAGCUUUAGACGUUAAGUGGAAGUAGAUUUUGUUUUUAACUAACCAGGAAAAACAUCCUCUGCUGUAGCCCCUUUUUGGUGAGCUUGUACAAGCACCCCUCUCGAAUGAACUCCUAUAAAAAAAAAAAUAAAA